GCCGACUCUCCCGGCGUGAUCUCGGGCAUCGUCGGGGCCGUGGUGGUGGCCGUGGCUGGCGCCGUGUCCAGCUUCAUCGCCUACCAGAAGAAGAAGUGGUGUUUCAAGGAGAACGCAGGUCAGGACGUCGUCAACAUGGAGAACCAGCACAGGACCAACGCAGAGCCGCCCGUCCAGCAAACCCUCCUGAAAAGAUAAGAAUCACCGCCCUGAACCCAGACGCCGGAGUUCUGAACCACCGCUGCGCCGGGCGUUGGCAGACAAUCACCCCCGUGCCUGUUCCCCGCGGAGGGCCAGUGCCCG
Sorex fumeus (smoky shrew) is the source of this 303-nucleotide long non-coding RNA. RefSeq lists it as uncharacterized. The transcript is spliced from 3 exons. The record is from RefSeq and is a predicted model, not a curated record. Lineage: Eukaryota; Metazoa; Chordata; Mammalia; Eulipotyphla; Soricidae.